UCCGGGGUAGCUCAGCGGCCAGAGCGGGUGGCUGUUAACCACUAGGUCGGGGGUUCGAAUCCCCCCCCCGGAG
This 73-nucleotide transfer RNA is filed under the name Gemmatimonadota bacterium. Its description in RNAcentral is "Gemmatimonadetes bacterium (permafrost metagenome) tRNA-Asn". It matches the Rfam family "tRNA". Rfam says of the family: Transfer RNA (tRNA) molecules are approximately 80 nucleotides in length. The record is from RNAcentral. RNAcentral also lists the same sequence under 3 other names. Lineage: Bacteria; Pseudomonadati; Gemmatimonadota.